UGUGAACCUUAACACUUAGAGGAAGGAGAGUCGUAACAAGGUUUCCGUAGGUGAACCUGCGGAAGGAUCAUUC
This 73-nucleotide ribosomal RNA is filed under the name Toxoplasma gondii. RNAcentral's name for it is "partial 18S ribosomal RNA". It matches the Rfam family "Eukaryotic small subunit ribosomal RNA", at positions 1758 to 1831 of the family's 1831-position model. Lineage: Eukaryota; Apicomplexa; Conoidasida; Eucoccidiorida; Sarcocystidae. The record is from RNAcentral.